Molecule: ribosomal RNA, 440 nt
Filed under: uncultured bacterium
Lineage: Bacteria
Description: partial 16S ribosomal RNA
Rfam family: Bacterial small subunit ribosomal RNA
Source: RNAcentral
CCUACGGGUGGCAGCAGUAGGGAAUAUUGCGCAAUGAGGGAAACCCUGACGCAGCAACGCCGCGUGGAGGAUGAAGGUUUUCGGAUUGUAAACUCCUUUUGUUAGAGAAGAUAAUGACGGUAUCUAACGAAUAAGCACCGGCUAACGCCGUGCCAGCAGCCGCGGUAAUACGGAGGGUGCAAGCGUUACUCGGAAUCACUGGGCGGAAAGAGCGCGUAGGCGGGAUAGCAAGGCAGAUGUGAAAUCCUAUGGCUUAACCAUAGAACUGCAUUUGAAACUGUUAUUCUAGAGUAUGGGAGAGGUAGGCGGAAUUCUUGGUGUAGGGGUAAAAUCCGUAGAGAUCAAGAGGAAUACUCAUUGCGAAGGCGACCUGCUAGAACAUAACUGACGCUGAUGAGCGAAAGCGUGGGGAGCAAACAGGAUUAGAUACCCUAGUAGUC